This 392-nucleotide unclassified non-coding RNA is filed under the name fungal sp. Its description in RNAcentral is "partial internal transcribed spacer region". The stretch from base 1 to 46 matches the Rfam family "Eukaryotic small subunit ribosomal RNA", at positions 1786 to 1831 of the family's 1831-position model. The record is from RNAcentral. Lineage: Eukaryota; Fungi.
AAGUCGUAACAAGGUUUCCGUAGGUGAACCUGCGGAAGGAUCAUUAACACGUUAUCCAACGUAUCAACCAAAGAGAACUGUUUUUAUCUCCCGGAGGCAAAGAAUGAGUGGAAUUCGAAGAGGUGUUGAAAGGGAUUGCUUCGGCGUCAGCCUCUCUCUUAUUAUUUAAGCAAAUCGAAAGAUUUGCUUAGACACUGUAUUUUUGCUGAAGGCAACUGUCUGCGCAGGGCCCUCCUUUCAUUGAGUUCUGUUGCAGCAAACUUUUUCACUAAUUUAACCCAAUUUUUGCUAGUUGACUUUAAUAUGUUGUUCUUUACGCUUGCGUAAGGUUCACACGUUUAAUUAAUUGAACGUUAAAAAUACAACUCUUAGCAAUGGAUAUCUUGGUUCUC